Molecule: non-coding RNA, 333 nt
Organism: Lactuca sativa (garden lettuce)
Lineage: Eukaryota; Viridiplantae; Streptophyta; Magnoliopsida; Asterales; Asteraceae
Source: RefSeq, a predicted model, not a curated record
AUAGGCUGCAGAGAAAAUAAAGGCUUUCAAGAACAAGUCGUCACAAAAUCGUUUGAAACAAGUGUUUUCUAUUAUCUUGAAGCUGGUGCAAAUAUAAUAAUCACAUCUUAGCAGGUGUGGAAUCCACGAGAAAGAAUUCUCUAUUGGUUGUUGAUAAUAUUUGACAAUAUGGAUUGAAAUUUUUGGUAUUUGACAAUAUGAAGUUAUAGAUUUAAUGUAUGUCAAAUAAUUGAAAUGUAUGGAUUUACUUUUAUAUUUGGUUGUUUUAAAAUACAGAUUUAAUGUAUGUUUAAAAAAUUUGUGUUCAAUAUGUAAAUUACUUUUAGUUUUUAA